UGCUGUGCUUUUAAGGCUAACACAUGGCACAACUUGGGCUUCAUGCUUGGCGCCCAGCAGCCUUUCAUACACAGGAUUACCAACACCUGGGCCAAGAGGACUUUCACUUCAUCUUGGACUAGGUGUGGACCUGCCCGUUUCCCAUUUUGGGGACCUGAACAUGGAGCAGGUUCUGCAACACGCUGCUUUGAAUGUACCUGCUGGAAGGGCUCGUUCCUCCCUCCUGGGCAGGAGGAGAGGGAGGCACAAAUAUCACGGUGCCUCCCUGUCCCCCAGCUGCCCUGGGAAGACCUCGCCUCCCCGUAUCAGAUAGCAGCCACGCGCGGCCGCUGCGCUGAGCCGCUUACGCCGGGCUUGUGAGCUCCCUCGCCAGGAAAGGGGUUAAAGCAAGAUAAAGCUGGAGCGUUAUGGAGACCAUAUGGAGGGGAAGAAAACCCUUUAUCCUGUAAUUGGAUUCGUUCCCAGCAGCUCCCGGCGGAGGUGAGGCUGAGUGGAGCUGACAGGACGUGAUGGGUGAGGCGCUGCCAGCCGCCCCGUCCAAAGCAGGAUGUGUGUGCACAAACUUCUAGAUCAAUCCGUUAG
Molecule: long non-coding RNA, 582 nt
Filed under: Anser brachyrhynchus (Pink-footed goose)
Lineage: Eukaryota; Metazoa; Chordata; Aves; Anseriformes; Anatidae
Description: lncRNA (ENSABRG00000011356.1)
Source: RNAcentral